This 467-nucleotide ribosomal RNA is filed under the name uncultured bacterium. RNAcentral's name for it is "partial 16S ribosomal RNA". It matches the Rfam family "Bacterial small subunit ribosomal RNA", at positions 28 to 507 of the family's 1533-position model. The record is from RNAcentral.
GACGAACGCUGGCGGCGUGCUUAACACAUGCAAGUCGAACGGAAAGGCUCCAGCUUGCUGGAGUACUCGAGUGGCGAACGGGUGAGUAACACGUGGGUAAUCUGCCCUGCACUCUGGGAUAAGCCUGGGAAACUGGGUCUAAUACUGGAUAUGACCUUUCUCCUUAUGGGGUUUGGUGGAAAGUUUUUCGGUGUAGGAUGAGCCCGCGGCCUAUCAGCUUGUUGGUGGGGUGAUGGCCUACCAAGGCGACGACGGGUAGCCGGCCUGAGAGGGUGAUCGGCCACAUUGGGAUUGAGAUACGGCCCAGACUCCUACGGGAGGCAGCAGUGGGGAAUAUUGCACAAUGGGCGGAAGCCUGAUGCAGCGACGCCGCGUGAGGGAUGACGGCCUUCGGGUUGUAAACCUCUUUCAGCAGGGACGAAGCGUAAGUGACGGUACCUGCAGAAGAAGCACCGGCUAACUACGUG